UACAGAGGUCUCAAGCGUUGUUCGGAUUCAUUGGGCGUAAAGGGUGCGUAGGCGGUCUGUCGCGUCGGCUGUGAAAACCUGGGGCUCAACUCCGGGCCUGCAGCCGAUACGGGCAGACUAGAAUUCGGUAGGGGAGACUGGAAUUCCUGGUGUAGCGGUGAAAUGCGCAGAUAUCAGGAGGAACACCGGUGGCGAAGGCGGGUCUCUGGGCCGAUAUUGACGCUGAGGAGCGAAAGCGUGGGGAGCGAACAGG
This 253-nucleotide ribosomal RNA is filed under the name uncultured bacterium. Its description in RNAcentral is "partial 16S ribosomal RNA". It matches the Rfam family "Bacterial small subunit ribosomal RNA", at positions 524 to 776 of the family's 1533-position model. The record is from RNAcentral.